AGCUGUAGCCCUACUGAGACAUGACUACUGGCAACGCGAGACUUGAAAGUUAGUAUACAUCAGAGUUGCCAGAUCUCGCGAUAAACACAUCCGCCAGUUUUAAACGAGGGAUACGUUACGAUGGCGGCCUUUAAGCAAGCAACGGGCGAGAGUUUACUGCAAAUACUGGAAGCGAAAAGACAUUUACUUUGGUCUUUUAUGGAUCCCAUUUACCCGAGAGACUGGCGCCAACUGAGAGACCCAUCUGAUGCUCUUGCUACAUCAAGUAGCAGCUUAGAUGAAGAUCUAGAUUUGGAUGUAGCAACCAAUUUAUUUUCUCAUUUAUGUUUUUUAUUACCGCAUGUUGUUAAAAUUGUUUAUUUGUAUUUAUAAUAAUAUUGUAUCAAUAAUUCCUUUAUAUUUUCAUCAUGUUGUAUUAUCUUAAGUUGUCUAUGUUGUAAUCCUUUUUCUUAGUAAAGUCUUUAUAUUUAAUUUGUUUGGACAGAUUACCAUUUAUGAGAACCUGUUAUGUUUAAGUAAAAACAAUCACUAUUGUGAACCACUAUUCUGUUGUCUAUUAGAGGUAGAUAUGUAGUCAUUCAAAAGCUGUGUAUUUGGUCUAUUCUUGGGCUAUGGUUAGACUAUUAACUUUUCACUGACAGCCCAAAUUCAACCUUUUUAGCCUAGAACCAUUUUCACCAUCUAAUACACGUCUAUAUGUAGCCGUUCAAUGGUAGUCUAAUUGAUGACUAGAAUAUUUUUGGGCUAGACGUCUACCAAACCUUCACUGACAGCCCUGUUAGCCUAGACCCAUUUUCAACGUCUAUUAGAUGUCUAUAUGUAGCCGUUCAAUAGUGGUCUAAUUCAUGAGUAGGCUAUUUUGGGCUAUGGUUAGACGUCUAACAAACUUUCACUGACAGCCCAAAUUCAGCCCUGUUUUAGCCUAGACGCCUGGGCUCUGUUUAGGUGUCUAUUAGACAUCUUUUAACCGUGAAAUUGCUUGCUGGGUAGGUAGCCAAUUGCCACCAGCAUGUAGUCCCGUCGGGUUAAAGCUUAAUAAAUAUGGCCUUCCUAUUUAAAAUCGAAUGUAAUGGGCUGUAGCACUUCAUUCAUUAAGGAAAGUCCAGUAAAUGAUUGAGCAACGCUGUAUAGUAGCCUAAUAAUGUUAACGCAUUUAUCCUCCUUCCACUUCUGCGUUUUAGAGCCUAUCAGGGUCCGCGGUCGCACGCAUUCUAGACCACCCCAUUAAAAUGGAAGCUCUGACUUUAUUUACCCGUUGCCAUGGUGAAUUGUAGUAUCGGAGCUCCAUUGAUGAUGACUUUCAUCCCUACGCACGCGCUUCCAUCAGGCUCAACAUACUCAGAGUUGAUUGAACUUAUUCUGAUCAGCUGUUCUGGUACCAAAAAUUCAAAGUUUCCCACCUCAGACUCAAUCAACCCAGAGCUCAGGGAUAAACUCAGAGUUUGUUAAGCCUGCUUUCUGAAACAGAGCCCUGACUGUUUUGAACUGUUUUUGAUGCUUUUUAGAAGCAUUGUUGUGUUUUGUAAUAAAACUAAAACAUAUGUUACUGGCAUAAACAGUAAAACAACAAAAUGGUUUCAGUAUACCUGGUCUCUUGUGAACGUGUAGAGAUUGGCCUGACAUUAUAUUCCUGGCCUGAAUUAUUAUCGCAGCGUGUUGGUACUACAAAGAUCAUUUAUGAGGCAAAAGAAGCAUCACUCAGUAAUGCUGUGCUACAACCAUGAGUGAACUGCUUGUUUUCGUAGUUCAACAAAGUGUCUAACCUUCUCUAGAGAAAUGAUCUAGCAGGCUGCCUUAGGUCAACUUCAAAACAAUCUCUCAGUUAAAGUUUCUUGCAUAUCAUAUCAAUAUUUUAAGCUGAUCAAUUUAAUAGUUCUGAAUUGGGAUCUCCAGUCUUCGGUGGGGUGUCAGAUCAGAUAACGCAAAUUGUGUCGUCCUAGAGGGCAUGAAAAACACCACAUUUUGUCAUUUAUAGGACUUGAUGUGUCUGCCUUCUCAUGAUCACUGAUUGGGGAACUUUCAGCUAAAUUAUUUAUAACUUUAGUUAGUUAAAAAUGUUGGAAGCUAAAUCUAAUUAGACACACAAUAAGAGAUUGAAAAGGAUUCAGAUUUAAUACCCGGAUAUGAUCCAAAUUCAGAUUUGAUACUCAAAUCCUGGUCUCAGUACUUAAUUCAUCUUGUCUGCGCAGCAGGAUUGAGCUUUCAGGCCCCUUAUCAUCAACAAGGCCACCAUAGACGGACAAAAUAAUUGUUUUUUUUCAGAUCAUGCAUUAGAUUUCUUUGUUCUCAGAGGUCAAAGUCAAGUGUGAUCUCAUCCCACAGAGAGGAGCUCGGCUCAUCUAGAGGGUUUUACAUUCAUGGAGAGUAGUGUUUCCACUGUCAGAUGGAAUAUGAAAUUAGUUCUCUUUUAAUGUCUGGUCUCUCAUUUCAAAGUGCCUGCUAUUCUUGCAGUUCACGCAAGGCAACUCACCAAGACACUGUAACUUUUACUACUGAUCUGAAAGAAUAAAGAACUCUCCAAGGCUUA
Micropterus dolomieu (smallmouth bass) is the source of this 2527-nucleotide long non-coding RNA. RefSeq lists it as uncharacterized. The transcript is spliced from 2 exons. The record is from RefSeq and is a predicted model, not a curated record. NCBI's taxonomy places the organism in Eukaryota, Metazoa, Chordata, Actinopteri, Centrarchiformes, Centrarchidae.